Morus notabilis is the source of this 2076-nucleotide long non-coding RNA. RefSeq lists it as uncharacterized. The transcript has 2 exons. Lineage: Eukaryota; Viridiplantae; Streptophyta; Magnoliopsida; Rosales; Moraceae. The record is from RefSeq and is a predicted model, not a curated record.
UUUCUCUCUUCCUUCCUCCUCUCUGGCUUUCCCGUCUUUCUAAGAUCUGUUCGCCAUGGAUGUUUUUUCCUGGUUUUCGUCGUUGAAUUUGGGUAGAUCUUUUCCCGAUCUACAAUUCGAUGGUGGUUUCGAGCGAAUUAAGCGUUUGGAAGCUGUUCGAUCUCCGGUAUUCCAUGGCUACAGUUCGAGCAUCUCUCCUCAUCUUAUGAGCAUCUGAUCAGGGACGAUAUUGAUGCUCGUGAUAGAUCUGAGAAGAAGCUUCGAGAGAGACGAUUCAUGCCGUUCUAUACCGCAGAUCUGGCGGAAUCGAAGCAGAUCUUGAUGAAUAUCAACAAAUCUUGGCCGAUCGUGGUUCUUUGUAAACAUUGUAUCAUAUUUUGAUGGUGAUGCAAUAUUAUGUUGAGGUUAUUGGGAUAUGGGGAGGGAUUUUUGGGGUUAAAGGUUGUUUAGAGGGAUGUAUAAGAUAUCGGAGACGGAAGGCCCGAGGGAGGCCUGGGUUCCGAUCGAUCUUUGUCAUCCGACCUUUGCCAUGACAGGUGCGCUUGCUUGGCAGGUCACAAAAUCUUAAUAAAAAAAAGAAAUUUUUUGGUUUUGGAGGGAGAUCGCACGGGGAUUGCCCGGGAUCUUUCCUUCGGUGUGUGCGUGUGCUUGUGUGUCCUGCUUUUUUUCUUUUUUCUCGUUCUGUUCUCUAUAUCCUCGCUUGACUUUACACAACGCAGUGCAUCAAGACGAAUGAGCCGUACAUCCAGAGAAUCUCCUAACAUCGUCCCUCUAAGGUAAACUCUACCAAAUUUGUGCCUUUUGAUAUGCAUCUAGAACGAGUAGACAAUUCAUAUAUAAUUUAUUCACAAGUCAUAUAAUUAAAUUGCCAUAUAUAAUUUCUUCACAAGUCAUAAUUCUAAGAUUCAUAUAAUAAUUAUCAUAUAAUCUUAAAGCUUCAUAUAAUAAUUAUCAUAUAUUCUACGCUUCGUAUAAUCAUUAUCAUAUAAUUCUAAGCUUCAUAUAAUCAUAUGACUACAGUAAUCACAAUUCUAUUCAUGUAUGUUUUAAAUUCGUUAGAUAAUCAUAUAUAGUUAUUAGCUUAAUCUUACAAUUCUAAGAAUAGAAUUUUAUCAUUUGAUCACUAGUCUCGAGUUAUGUAAUGCAAUAUCCAAUUGUUAAACGGCUUUUGGAGAUUAUUAUUGUCGCUUAUAAUUCGAUCUGUAUUCUCGUUUUUAAUUAAACGGGUACGAGAAUUAGCAAUGCAAGUCAAGUAUAAAAUACGAUGGUGUAAUGAUUUUGUUAUACAGAAUUCAGUUUAAGCAUCGUCUUACUACAAUAACCUAUAUCAAAUUACACUCGCAAACACAUCGUCUUCGAUUAACUAUUGAUUGUGCCGUUUCAGCACUAUAUAUUUGCACUUUUUAAUUUUGAGAAUUAUUUGAAUCUAUUUAUUCCUUCCAUAACGUUUCUGUUGGUAUGUAUCUGGUGAUCCAACAAACAUUAUUUAUUUAAAGGCAUCGCUCUCUAGCAUUUGUCUAGUUUUUGUAUGAUAUUGAUUAAGAGUUGUUUAUUUAUAGAUUUCUCUCUUGAGCUUAAAGUUGAGCAGUGACUUUGCGAUUGUCUCAUGCUCUUAUGUACCUUGGUAUGUUCUGGACCCACCUAUGUUUUGAGAUUUGUUUUCUGUAAUAUAGAGAAAACCAUGUGGUUGUAUAUGUCGGUUGGAACUUGUUUGUAGCUGGUCGUGUUUACAAAUGUACAGUUUUGUCUUCUUUGCUGCGAAGAAUGCUCGUCACAAUGGUCACAGCAUUGCCCCAACGUCGGUAUUUUUUGUUAAGACUCUUCGUUGUCGGCAUUUGGUCAAGUUUCAUGGUGGUUCGUUCGUAUCAAAACCAAAUGAUCCAAAGAGGUGAUGAAAGAGUAGAAUGGGCAAUGUUCCCAAUUGUUCUUUGCUUUCAAGUAUUAUUAUUCAUUAUUUUUAGUUAUCCUUAUUUAUGUCAUUAUUUAGUAUUUAUUUUUAUUAUUAUCGUUCUAUUCAACAAAGAAUCACUGUUUAGUUCAUUUAUUCAAAGUUCGUUCCAGAAUUGUUAGAAUUAA